AUUGAACGCUGGCGGCAGGCCUAACACAUGCAAGUCGAACGGUAACAGGAAGCAGCUUGCUGCUUCGCUGACGAGUGGCGGACGGGUGAGUAAUGUCUGGGAAACUGCCUGAUGGAGGGGGAUAACUACUGGAAACGGUAGCUAAUACCGCAUAAUGUCGCAAGACCAAAGAGGGGGCCCUUCGGGCAUCAUGCCAUCGGAACUGCCCAUAUGGGAUUAGCUAGUAGGUGGGGUAACGGCUUACCUAGGCGACGAUCCCUAGCUGGUUUGAGAGGAUGACCAGCCACACUGGAACUGAGACACGGUCCAGACUCCUACGGGAGGCAGCAGUGGGGAAUAUUGCACAAUGGGCGCAAGCCUGAUGCAGCCAUGCCGCGUGUAUGAAGAAGGCCUUCGGGUUGUAAAGUACUUUCAGCGGGGAGGAAGGCGAUAAGGUUAAUAACCUUGUCGAUUGACGUUAUCCGCAGAAGAAGCACCGGCUAACUCCGUGCCAGCAGCCGCCGUAA
RNAcentral lists this ribosomal RNA (506 nucleotides) under uncultured bacterium. RNAcentral's name for it is "partial 16S ribosomal RNA". It matches the Rfam family "Bacterial small subunit ribosomal RNA", at positions 30 to 523 of the family's 1533-position model. The record is from RNAcentral.